CCUACGGGGGGCAGCAGUGGGGAAUAUUGGACAAUGGGGGCAACCCUGAUCCAGCCAUGCUGCGUGUGUGAAGAAGGCCCUCGGGUUGUAAAGCACUUUCAGUGAGGAAGAACGCCUGGUGGUUAAUACCCAUCAGGAAAGACAUCACUCACAGAAGAAGCACCGGCUAACUCCGUGCCAGCAGCCGCGGUAAUACGGAGGGUGCGAGCGUUAAUCGGAAUUACUGGGCGUAAAGCGCGCGUAGGUGGCUUGAUAAGCCGGUUGUGAAAGCCCCGGGCUCAACCUGGGAACGGCAUCCGGAACUGUCAAGCUAGAGUGCAGGAGAGGAAGGUAGAAUUCCCGGUGUAGCGGUGAAAUGCGUAGAGAUCGGGAGGAAUACCAGUGGCGAAGGCGGCCUUCUGGACUGACACUGACACUGAGGUGCGAAAGCGUGGGUAGCAAACAGGAUUAGAUACCCGAGUAGUC
This 465-nucleotide ribosomal RNA is filed under the name Vreelandella stevensii. Its description in RNAcentral is "partial 16S ribosomal RNA". It matches the Rfam family "Bacterial small subunit ribosomal RNA", at positions 338 to 795 of the family's 1533-position model. Lineage: Bacteria; Pseudomonadati; Pseudomonadota; Gammaproteobacteria; Oceanospirillales; Halomonadaceae. The record is from RNAcentral.